AGCGACUUAAGUCAAGUCAGCCGACCAUUGUUCUACCUGUCAGUUAGCAUAGCAUGCUAUCAGCACAAAACCGUCCUAUUUAGCAGGAUAAAUGAGAUGCCGUAUUGAUGACUCGUGGGAUCAGUGCCUCAGAUAACCAAGGUCAUGUGUCACAAAGGUCCCGAACCUGGAGGAUCGUCUUAUGAGUGAGUCUCAAAGUCACUUCUUCAUCAUCCGACCUCCCUGGCUUUGCCUGCACGCUUCUCCACAUGUCACUCUGAUGCACUCAUUUCGGAUCUCCCUAGUCACUCAGUAUCUUCAUCUCUGACUCAGCUUCCUUUCAGCAAGACAUGAGGCAGUCAAGCACAGGGAAAAAUGAAAAAGCUUGUUGAGCAGCUUGUAUUUUUGGCUCCAGAGUUCAGGAAAUUUAAAUCAGGCUUUUCACAAGAGCAGAAAAAAAGUUGUGGCUGAUGAAGUAAACAUUUGGAGUUUCAAGGGUUAAGUCCAUCUUGAGCAUGAAGAAAGCGGACAGCUAUAAGAGAAGCCUGGAUCUGAGCAAGAAGGAACUGAUACAGAAGGCUCAGCUGUUGUUUCAGGUUGUUACAUCAGCAGACUUGUACCAUGUAUUAUGAAGCUCCUUGAAGCUUCAAAAGGAUAGAAAUGGGAUAUUCACCAAUGAAGCAAGCGGCUGCGAUGACCUGCAGAGCUCCAGGGCGCUCCAUCCUCCACUCCAGUUGAAGGCUCUCAGCAGCAGACUCUGGGGAGCAGCAUCAUCUUGGCCGACUCGACUCUCUGAGAAGCUGCUCUCUGCUAUGGGAUCAUUCCGCUCAGCGUCAUGUGACAAAUUCCACAUCAUGUGAUUUUGCUUUGGUUGGGAGGGGAGGGGUGAAAUUCAGGAGCGCUGUUGUUGCUGCAAGAGCUUUCAGGUCCAAGAACCGUGAGUUUCAGAGCUUCUGUUUUACUGCUGGUUUUCGUUCUUCAUCAUCAUCAUCAUCUUCAGUGUACACACACAAACUAAAAUUAAAUGGAAAUAAAGAG
Molecule: long non-coding RNA, 1017 nt
Organism: Synchiropus splendidus (mandarinfish)
Lineage: Eukaryota; Metazoa; Chordata; Actinopteri; Syngnathiformes; Callionymidae
Exons: 3
Source: RefSeq, a predicted model, not a curated record